This 464-nucleotide ribosomal RNA is filed under the name uncultured bacterium. Its description in RNAcentral is "bacterial SSU rRNA". It matches the Rfam family "Bacterial small subunit ribosomal RNA", at positions 335 to 792 of the family's 1533-position model. The record is from RNAcentral.
ACUCCUACGGGAGGCAGCAGUGGGGAAUAUUGCACAAUGGGCGCAAGCCUGAUGCAGCCAUGCCGCGUGUGUGAAGAAGGCCUUCGGGUUGUAAAGCACUUUCAGUCGUGAGGAAGGUAGUGUAGUUAAUAGCUGCAUUAUUUGACGUUAGCGACAGAAGAAGCACCGGCUAACUCCGUGCCAGCAGCCGCGGUAAUACGGAGGGUGCGAGCGUUAAUCGGAAUUACUGGGCGUAAAGCGCAUGCAGGUGGUUUGUUAAGUCAGAUGUGAAAGCCCGGGGCUCAACCUCGGAAUAGCAUUUGAAACUGGCAGACUAGAGUACUGUAGAGGGGGUAGAAUUUCAGGUGUAGCGGUGAAAUGCGUAGAGAUCUGAAGGAAUACCGGUGGCGAAGGCGGCCCCCUGGACAGAUACUGACACUCAGAUGCGAAAGCGUGGGGAGCAAACAGGAUUAGAUACCCUGGUA